This 553-nucleotide ribosomal RNA is filed under the name uncultured bacterium. Its description in RNAcentral is "partial 16S ribosomal RNA". The record is from RNAcentral.
AGUAAUUCCGAUUAACGCUUGCACCCUUCGUAUUACCGCGGCUGCUGGCACGAAGUUAGCCGGUGCUUAUUCUGUUGGUAACGUCAAAACAGUAAGGUAUUAACUUACUGCCCUUCCUCCCAACUUAAAGUGCUUUACAAUCCGAAGACCUUCUUCACACACGCGGCAUGGCUGGAUCAGGCUUUCGCCCAUUGUCCAAUAUUCCCCACUGCUGCCUCCCGUAGGAGUCUGGACCGUGUCUCAGUUCCAGUGUGACUGAUCAUCCUCUCAGACCAGUUACGGAUCGUCGCCUUGGUAGGCCUUUACCCCACCAACUAGCUAAUCCGACCUAGGCUCAUCUGAUAGCGUGAGGUCCGAAGAUCCCCCACUUUCUCCCUCAGGACGUAUGCGGUAUUAGCGCCCGUUUCCGGACGUUAUCCCCCACUACCAGGCAGAUUCCUAGGCAUUACUCACCCGUCCGCCGCUGAAUCCAGGAGCAAGCUCCCUUCAUCCGCUCGACUUGCAUGUGUUAGGCCUGCCGCCAGCGUUCAAUCUGAGCCAGGAUCAAACCCUA